UUUGGAGAGAAUAAGUUUUUUUAGAAGGAUCAGAGAGCUAGCUUCAUGCUUUGGAGUGGGAAAAAAAGACAGAGAAUUGGGUUUUUUUUCUUCGUAGGGUUUUGAGAAGACGGAGGAAAUCGUUGCUGAAGUCAGUGCUGUACUGGUGAAUCAAGAUUUUAAUGAAGUAGGUGUGAUUACUCUUAAUUGUUUUAUGAAAUUGAGUUAUGUCUGUGAUGAAGAAUUAAAAGGGUGUCUAUAAGAUUGAGUAUGCGAGUGAAUGAAAUUUAUUGGGUUAAUCUAACGAGACAAUCAAUGGAUACAAGAUCUUGAGUAUAAAGCGAUAUCGAAGAUUAGCAGUUUGGAUUGUUGGAGGUUCUUUGUAACGUCUA
This 371-nucleotide long non-coding RNA is filed under the name Physcomitrium patens. RNAcentral describes it as "long non-coding RNA (PPAT_LNC012808)". The record is from RNAcentral. Lineage: Eukaryota; Viridiplantae; Streptophyta; Bryopsida; Funariales; Funariaceae.